This 23-nucleotide microRNA is filed under the name Monodelphis domestica (gray short-tailed opossum). Its description in RNAcentral is "mdo-miR-12325-5p". The record is from miRBase by way of RNAcentral. Lineage: Eukaryota; Metazoa; Chordata; Mammalia; Didelphimorphia; Didelphidae.
UGGGUACUUAUUCAAUGUUUGUU